RNAcentral lists this ribosomal RNA (253 nucleotides) under uncultured bacterium. RNAcentral's name for it is "partial 16S ribosomal RNA". It matches the Rfam family "Bacterial small subunit ribosomal RNA", at positions 524 to 776 of the family's 1533-position model. The record is from RNAcentral.
GACAGAGGGGGCAAGCGUUGCUCGGAAUCACUGGGCGUAAAGGGCGCGUAGGCGGGAUGGCAAGUCGGUCGUGAAAUCCUUCGGCUCAACCGAAGAACGUCGGCCGAUACUGCCGUUCUUGAGGGAUGCAGAGGAGAUUGGAAUUCCCGGUGUAGCGGUGAAAUGUGUAGAGAUCGGGAGGAACACCGGUGGCGAAGGCGGGUCUCUGGGCAUUUCCUGACGCUGAGGAGCGAAAGCGUGGGGAGCGAACAGG